Molecule: ribosomal RNA, 258 nt
Filed under: uncultured bacterium
Lineage: Bacteria
Description: partial 16S ribosomal RNA
Rfam family: Bacterial small subunit ribosomal RNA
Source: RNAcentral
UACGAAGGGGGGCUAGCGUUGCUCGGAAUCACUGGGCGUAAAGGGUGCGUAGGCGGGUCUUUAAGUCAGGGGUGAAAUCCUGGAGCUCAACGUCCAGAACUGCCUUUGAUACUGAAGAUCUUGAGUUCGGGAGAGGUGAGUGGAACUGCGAGUGUAGAGGUGAAAUUCGUGAGAUAUUCGCAAGAACACCAGUGGCGAAGGCGGCUCACUGGCCCGAUACUGACGCUGAGGCACGGAAAGCGUGGGGAGCAAACAGGG